Leptidea sinapis is the source of this 234-nucleotide long non-coding RNA. RefSeq lists it as uncharacterized. The transcript has 3 exons. The record is from RefSeq and is a predicted model, not a curated record. Lineage: Eukaryota; Metazoa; Arthropoda; Insecta; Lepidoptera; Pieridae.
UUCCACCUCUCCAAGAGUCAGAGGUUGUUUGCUACUUUCAACUGAAACGCAUCUCACCCCGCGGAUUGGCGUCAAUCUAUUUUAAGAAGAUAUGAAUAUUUAAUCUGAAUCACCUUUGUUUCGUCUUCCACCUCUAAAAUAGUCACAGGAAUGGACGUCGUGUACAGCUUUAAGAUGAUUCUUCAUCAACAACAACACCAGGAUGCAUUGAGGACCUGCUGGGUUUUCAGCAUG